AGUGAACGCUGGCGGCGUGCCUAAUACAUGCAAGUCGAACGGAAUUUAAAAGAGCUUGCUCUUUUAAAUUUAGUGGCGCACGGGUGAGUAAUAUAUAGCUAAUCUGCCCCUUGCUGGAGGACAACAGUUAGAAAUGACUGCUAAUACUCCAUACUCCUUUUUACCAUAAGAUAAAUCGGGAAAGAAUUUCGGCAAGGGAUGAGACUAUAUCGUAUCAGCUAGUCGGUGGGGUAACGGCCUACCGAGGCUAUGACGCGUAACUGGUCUGAGAGGAUGAUCAGUCACAUUGGAACUGAGACACGGUCCAAACUCCUACGGGAGGCAGCAGUAGGGAAUAUUGCGCAAUGGGGGAAACCCUGACGCAGCAACGCCGCGUGGAGGAUGACACUUUUCGGAGCGUAAACUCCUUUUGUUAGGGAAGAAUAAUGACGGUACCUAACGAAUAAGCACCG
RNAcentral lists this ribosomal RNA (452 nucleotides) under Campylobacter gracilis. RNAcentral describes it as "bacterial SSU rRNA". It matches the Rfam family "Bacterial small subunit ribosomal RNA", at positions 29 to 495 of the family's 1533-position model. Lineage: Bacteria; Pseudomonadati; Campylobacterota; Epsilonproteobacteria; Campylobacterales; Campylobacteraceae. The record is from RNAcentral.